RNAcentral lists this ribosomal RNA (603 nucleotides) under Bacillus cereus. RNAcentral describes it as "bacterial SSU rRNA". It matches the Rfam family "Bacterial small subunit ribosomal RNA", at positions 788 to 1384 of the family's 1533-position model. The record is from RNAcentral. Lineage: Bacteria; Bacillati; Bacillota; Bacilli; Caryophanales; Bacillaceae.
UGGUAGUCCCACGGCCGUAAACGAUGAGUGCUAAGUGUUAGAGGGUCUCCGCCCUUUAGUGCUGAAGUUCACGCAUUAAGCACUCCGCCUGGGGGAGUACGGCCGCAAGGCUGAAACUUCAAAGGAAUUUGACGGGGGGCCCGCACAAGCGGGUGGAACAUGGUGGUUUAUUCGAAGCACGCGAAGAACCUUUACAGGUCUUGACCAUCCUCUGACACCCCUAAAGAUAGGGCUUCUCCUUCGGGAGCAGAGUGACAGGUGGUGCAUGGUUGUCGUCAGCUCGUGUCGUGAGAUGUUGGGUUAAGUCCCGCAACGAGCGCAACCCUUGAUCUUAGUUGCCAUCAUUUAGUUGGGCACUCUAAGGUGACUGCCGGUGACAAACCGGAGGAAGGUGGGGAUGACGUCAAAUCAUCAUGCCCCUUAUGACCUGGGCUACACACGUGCUACAAUGGACGGUACAAAGAGCUGCAAGACCGCGAGGUGGAGCUAAUCUCAUAAAACCGUUCUCAGUUCGGAUUGUAGGCUGCAACUCGCCUACAUGAAGCUGGAAUCGCUAGUAAUCGCGGAUCAGCAUGCCGCGGUGAAUACGUUCCCGGGCCUUGU